CGGGGUAUAGCUCAGAGGCAGAGCGCUUCGUUCGGGACGGAGAGGCCGCUGGUUCGAAUCCAGCUACCCCGA
Candidatus Curtissbacteria bacterium RBG_13_35_7 is the source of this 72-nucleotide non-coding RNA. The record is from Rfam. NCBI's taxonomy places the organism in Bacteria, Candidatus Curtissiibacteriota.